This is a long non-coding RNA of Rosa chinensis, 706 nucleotides long. RefSeq lists it as uncharacterized. Lineage: Eukaryota; Viridiplantae; Streptophyta; Magnoliopsida; Rosales; Rosaceae. The transcript has 4 exons. The record is from RefSeq and is a predicted model, not a curated record.
UCUUCGACCGUUGAGGCGUCGACGACCUUCGCUCUCCUCCACUGUAAGUGGGUAAGAAGUUGUUUGGGUUUUGACUUUGAACAUCUCCAUGAUUUGAACAUCUUCAAUCGAUCUAUCUCUCAUGAAUAUCUCCUUGAUUUUCUGCGUUUUCAGACGAACAGCCUCAAACUCGAUCUUGGUUGCUCGCAGCAAAUACUAAAAUGAAAUCGAUUUCAUGGUUUUAAUGAUUAUUUGAUAGAAAGAAGUUGAAUUUAUAUUAAAGAAUAAUACUUUAGGUUCAUGUAUUGUUCUUUUGGAUUCAGGAAUGUGAUGUCCUCAUCCCUUCUGCUUUGGGUGGAGUUCUUAAUAGGGAUAAUACUUCAUCAGUGAGAAGCUGAAAACUUUCUGGGUUCGAUUUCUGAUUCUUCAAAGUCCGUGUCUUGGCAUGCUAGUUGCUGCAACUUCUGGAACUGGAUUUGUUCUUGGAAGUGGCAGUGCCGUCGAUUUUGCUGGACUUUGUUGGAUAUGUGUUGGUACCAUGAUGUUUGCAGCAUCUGCUAACUCUUUAAAUCAGGUGUUCGAGAAGUAUAAUGAUGCCAAACUGAAGAGAACGAUGCAAAGACCCCUACCUUCAGGACGCAUUACUAGGCCUCAUGCAAUUGCCUAGGCAUUUACUGCUGGCUUAGCUGGCACUGCUUUGUUGGCAAGCAAGGUGGCCCCAUGAAAA